This is a long non-coding RNA of Gossypium arboreum, 497 nucleotides long. RefSeq lists it as uncharacterized. NCBI's taxonomy places the organism in Eukaryota, Viridiplantae, Streptophyta, Magnoliopsida, Malvales, Malvaceae. The transcript has 2 exons. The record is from RefSeq and is a predicted model, not a curated record.
GUCUAAGAUUUCCCACAUACCCCUUGUUGAAAUUGAUGGUAAAAAAGUCAUCCCGAGGGCAUCAGAUUGAAAGAUGAGCCGCAAAAUCUGUGAUUGGUCAUGGGACAGGCAUUGAAAGCUAAGUUGGGGUGGAACUCGGCUUUCAGAAAGAUCCUUUGAAGGAAAAGUAAAAAGAUGUCACUUCUCUUGUUAAAAUUUUCAAAGACAAAGUAGAAAUGUUGAUGAGAUGUUAUUGGCAUAUUGUGAUUGAGUGUACCUUUGCAAAAUUACCACACUUCAAUGGGUGGAAUUUGUUGAGUAUUUUGUAAAAGGCUAGUAAAAGGGUGGGUGGUGUUUUAGUAUUUUCACAGAGCUGAAGUGAUGAUGUUUGUAAACUUCUUUCUUCGCUUUGGGGUUUAAUUUGGUAGUAGCAUUAGUUCAUUGGUUUUCUAUAAUGUGAGCUUUGUGUUUUGUAAACUCGUGUUCACUUUUUUAUUCUACUACGUAUAUUAUUUUGA